Dermacentor andersoni is the source of this 631-nucleotide long non-coding RNA. RefSeq lists it as uncharacterized. The record is from RefSeq and is a predicted model, not a curated record. NCBI's taxonomy places the organism in Eukaryota, Metazoa, Arthropoda, Arachnida, Ixodida, Ixodidae.
UGGACGCAUCCUUUUGAUUAGGGGCCCUCACUCACGCUGGCUGCGUCGGCUGUUCCAGGUUUAAGGCGAAAUCCGAGGAGGGUACGGAGAUCUGACUGCCGAUCGCCUAGAACACUUCGCUAAUGAGAACGGGGAUCGGCAAGAGACGCAGCUUCGAUCGCUUCGACGGGUACUCGGAGCGUCCCGGGCCGGCAGCUCAACGUGCGCACGGCCGAGUACAUCAAGGACCCACAGUGUUGCGGAGUUGCCGUGCACGUCGAUUGCAGCGCCCUCUGUCCACCCGUCGUGGCCGUGAGUGGCGUGCUCCGCAGAUGUGCCGCUGUCUGCUCGUCAGCGAUGGUUGUGGCUGCAUCUAUGGGGACACUGAUGGUGGCCUUCCUCGACGUUGCCAGGCACGAAAUUUCAAGGCAACGGUAAGGGACACUUUCCAUCCUCAGUGAAAAAUCAGUCGCGUGCUUCAAAGUCACGACCUCAAUGGGAACGCAGUCAUCGUACUCUGCCCGCUGCCACCAGCGGUUAUUCCAGUGGCGGAGAUGCACAAAGCACACCGGCUGUGGCGAUCGGUUGCGUGCAGCGCGCUCGUAUGUUCCCCCGUUGGCCUUUCUCCUAAUACCUGAAGUAUGUUCAAAUU